Molecule: ribosomal RNA, 363 nt
Filed under: Nitrososphaerota archaeon
Lineage: Archaea; Thermoproteati; Nitrososphaerota
Description: Thaumarchaeota archaeon partial 23S ribosomal RNA
Rfam family: Archaeal large subunit ribosomal RNA
Source: RNAcentral
GAACUUCCAGAACCAACCGUCGUGAGACAGGUCGGCCUCUACCUGAUGGAAGCGGUGGCUCACUGAGGGGAAGCCCUGCCCAGUACGAGAGGAACAGCGGGGCGUUGCCUCUGGCGUACCGGUUGUCCGAGAGGGCAUCGCCGGGCAGCUAAGCAAUCGUGGAUAACCGCUGAAAGCAUCUAAGCGGGAAGCCACUCCCGAGAAGAGUGAGCCUUGGGUCCUAACUUCCCUCGCAAGGGGGAGGAGCGGAUCCUGGAGGGCGGGAGUAGAAGACUCCGUUGAAGUAGUCCCGGUGUACGCUAGAAGCUCGCAAGAGCGACUAGUUCAGCCGGCGGACUAACUAUAGCCCAACGCAAGGAUGAG